UCGCUACAGGCACAGCUUCUUGGCAGCAGGAGCCGCUUUCUUUGCUGCAGGAGCAGCCUUCUUUGCAGCAGGAGCUGCUUUCUUUGAUGCAGCAGGCUUUGUUGAGGCUACCUUCUUGCUCCUUGUUGAUUUAGUGGGUGCAGGGCUGGGGGCUUUGCCGCAACGGCAGAUUUGGCACUUCGGGCAGGCUUGCUUGCUGGUGCAGCAGCUUUUUCUUGCUUCGUGGAUUUUGCUGCUGCUGCUUUUGAUUUCGGCGCAGCAGCUUUUGAUUUUGCGACAGACUUAGAAGCAGCUUUAGGCACGGCCUUUGUUUUGGCUGCAGCAAACUUUUGUCGCAGGAGCCUUGACCUGGUUUUUUUGCUGGUGCUUUAGUCGCUUUCACAGUUCCCUCAGAGGGGGCAGCCGUUUUGGCCCCUCUUGUAGUUCUUGUUACUUUAACAGGCGAUGCUACAACUUUUGCACUCUUGGCAGGACUGCUUUCAACUUUGGAUUCGCUUUUGCGCUUCACUGCUGCGGAGGCUUUUUUACUCUCGUCGGCUUUGGUGAGAAUUUAAUAGGUGAUUCGGCAACUUCAGCCACUUUGCUGACUUUGCUUGCCGUCUUGACAGGGCUUUCUGAUUUGCGCUUGACGGGGAGACUUUUUCGGAGUAGUUACUUUUGUAGCACUUUUGGGCGAUUUGAGAGGAGUGGUGUCAAGCAUGACCUGAGCGACGACUUUAGCUGUGCGACUGGCUCUUACGCUGCUGUCUACUGGAGUUUCAGCUGCAGUAGCUGGCUUUUUAACAGAUUUGGCAGUGCUCUUGGGUGUUUUAGGAGCAGGAGUUUUCUUUACAGCACUUUUCGGUGAUUUUGCUGCAGGUGCUUUUUUGGCGGAUUUUACAGGGGUUGGUGCCGGUGCUUUCUUGGCGGAUUUUACAGGGGUUGGUACCGGAGCUUUCUUGGCAGAUUUGACAGGGGUUGGUACUGGAGUUACAGGAGCACUAGGAGUUUUGGCGACAGGUUUAGCAACACUUUUGGGAGUUUUGGCAGAUUUGGCAGGAGUUUUGGCAGGAGUUUUGGCAGGUGUUUUUGCUGUGGCUUUAGGGGUAGCCACACUCUUUGGGGUCACAGGAACAGCUGCUGGAGCAGGAGUCUUGGCUGGUGUUUUCUUGACAGCCUUAGCUACACUCUUGGGAGUUUUUUUUGCUGAUUUUUUAGCAGAGACUGGUGAUUUGAUUGGCGAACUGACAGGUGUUUUGGCCGGGGUUUUCCCAGUUGACUUUGCUACACUGAUUGGAGUCUUGGGCAAAACUUUAGGUGCAGGGGUGGAAACUGAGACAGGAGUCUUUGCAGGUGUUUUCUUUACACUCUUGGGCGUUUUUUUGGCCGAUUUUUUAGCAGACACGGGUGAUUUUUUCGGGGAUUUGAGAGGAGUGGUCUUCACUACCACAGCGGGAGAAGCAAGACUGGGAAAAGCUAGACUCUUCUUCGUUUGGAAGCAGGGGUUGCUGAUUUCGAAGCAGAUGCAACUUUCUUCGCGGAUUUUUUUGAAAGGGGAGUCUUCUUGGUGACCAAGACUUUAGGCGUUUUCUUGGACGAUGAAACAGAAGUUUCUGCUGAGCUCUGGCUUGUUGACAGUGGGGAAACAAAGAUAUCUUUGGGAACGUUAGGUGUCUUUACUGAGUUGAAAUCAAACGAAUCUGGAGUAGCGUUGAAUGAAAACGCGGGUGCCUGACUUUCUCGCAGAUUUAGGAGCAGGCGAAGGCAUUUUGGUCUUGGUCACAAGAGGUGUGGACGAAACUUGUUUACUGCUACUGUUCCUUGAGCGAUCAAACAGCCUAUCAAGCAACAUUGGGCUGAUCGGACUCAGGGGGGAUUUCGCGUAAACGGGUCUCACUCCUGGCGACCACAGUGCUGCGAUUGUUUUUGUGCCUUCUUCACUGUAUUUCUGAGUUUUCGAGCUGGUAGGAGAUGGGCUUUUCUUGUUAAGAAGCUUUAAUUUUUUUGCUGAAAUUGCUCCUUUCCUCAAAGAAACUGGUGUUUUUGUGGGUGAUGCCUUUGCUGGUGUUGUAGAUGCUCUAGCUUUCAGCGCUGGAGAGGCUUAAGGGCUGCUGCAGGAGUAGCUGCCUGGGAUUUUUCAGGAGUUGCCUUUGAAACCGCUACUUUCGGAGUAGCUUUAGCAGCUGCUCUAGGUGCAGCUUUUGGAGUUGCUUUAGGUGUGGCUUUGGAGUUGCUUUAGGGGUGGCUUUAGGGGUGGCUUUGGGAGUUGCUUUUGGGGUGGCUUUAGGAGUAGCUUUGGGAGUCACUUUUGGAGUGGCUUUAGCAACUGCUAUGGGUGUAGCUUUUGGAGUUGCUUUAGGGGUGGCUUUGGGAGUUGCUUUUGGAGUAGCUUUUGGAGUAGCCUUAGGGGUUGCUUUCGGAGUGACCUUAGCAGCUGAUUUUGGAGUAGCUUUUGCAGUGGCUCUAGGAGUAGCCUUUGGGGUUGCUUUUAGAGUGGCUUUAGCAGCUGAUUUUGGAGUAGCUUUGGGGGUUGCCUUUGGCGUGGUUUUAGGAGUAGCCUUCAGGGUGGCCUUGGGAGUCGUUUUAGGGGUGGUUGCUGAGACAACUUUAGUAGUUCCUUUCUUGAAUGGAGUUUUGAACAGCUGAUCAACUCCUUCAAGAGAAUUUUCACCUGCUGGGGUGCCGCUUUUGCGGGUCACAUUCACCUUUGGCGACGCUGCAAGACUUGACUUGGGCAGAGGCUUUCCGGCUCCCUGUAAAAAAAAGGAAAAGGACGAUUAGUCUCACACUUAGAAAUGUACUCAGAAGCAGGAUUAGAGUGUUUUAAUGCAGUUUCUACUUCACAAUAAGUUUAAAAAGGUUUUGGCGACAUACUUGAGACAGUAAAACAAGAACAACUUGUCUGUAAAGGUCUGUAAAAGAAUGCACCUCAAUAAAAAUUAUCAGCGCCA
This 2930-nucleotide long non-coding RNA is filed under the name Bemisia tabaci. RNAcentral describes it as "lncRNA ENSSWEETPG005861". Lineage: Eukaryota; Metazoa; Arthropoda; Insecta; Hemiptera; Aleyrodidae. The record is from RNAcentral.